CACAAUGGCAGCCUUAAUAUAAUUGUCUGUGUUUUGUUUUACGCCGCACUGGGCGCUGCGUAUACAAUAUGAAGCAACAAUUAUCAUCGUCCGCAUUUCCAAAUGGCUGUGUUGAAAACCAUCUCACUCUUAAUCGUUCUAGCUGUCUUUUUAAAAUACAUCCACGGCGAUUCGUCGUGCUCCGAGCGGCAACGGGAUGGCUCGGUCUGCCCACGUUCAAAGCGCAUCGAGAUUCAUUUUAAGCCUUACUACGAAAUUUUCUUCGAUAAAACGGGUUCUAGGAACAGCCUAUACCCUGACAUCCUCCGCAAUGCGUCCGCGACAUGUUGCAAGUCCAGCGUUUUGGAGUUCAUUCCGGUAAACAGUUCGACAAAGGACAUCGAAGAGUUGAUACAAGAUGAGAGUUGCACAAAAGUGAAGAACAACGAUUCCAGCUUGAGUUUCUUCUUCCCAGUUUUUGUCAAAAGCGGAAAGAAAGCAGCUUUCGACGACGACUUUCAGUUUGUUCAGCUGGCAAAAUCAGCCGGACCUGUCAUAAUGAUGUUGACCUCGGAGAAGCAGAAGAUGAAGGUGACAGCUUCGGUUGCCGUCCGAAAUUCAUGGCCCUUGUUCGUACUGAUCAUGUGUCUCUCAGCGACUGUCGGACUACUUGGCUGGCUUUUGGAAAAGGUGUUUGCGCCUCAGAACCCAACAAGUAGCUCAACAUUGGACCAUUCCAGCAAUCCAUCACAAUUUUCGACUUGGUUUUACAAAGGAGCAUGGGAAGGCUUCUGGUGGGCCAUGGUCACAAUAACAACAGUGGGAUAUGGCGACAAAGUACCCGUGGCGUUCUUUUCUCGGGUGUUAACGAUAUUGUGGUUGUUUUGUGGCGCAAUCAUUCUGUCAUUGUUCACAGCUAACGUGACUUCGGUUCUCACAUCCAAUCAGAUGGAUUUCACAAAGGACCUCAUUGGGACAAGGAUCGCUGUAUUGAAUAGCAAGCACUAUUUUGAGUCAAAUUUGAAUGUUGGCGGGACUAUUGAAGAGUUCAAUUCACAAGAUGCCAUGUUCGCUGCGGUAGAAAGUGGCGAUGUGGACCGUAUUUUGGUCCAAAAUUAUUUUUACAUCCAUCGUUUAAAAGAAGGCGAAGAGAAGAUGAAGCUAUUCAGCGUUGUGGACGUGGUCCAUGAACCGUUUCUUACCGGAUUGGCAAUGGUUAAUAAACUGAGCAAUGAUAACAAAGCCUUUCUUUCAUGUCUACGAAAGAAAGUCAAGUCAUAUAAUAGGUUUCUUUUAGUUUCAUGUUUCCUCGAAAGACGCAAUUAUGGACGAGAAGAAAGAUUCACUGCACAAGACGUCGAUGCUGUUUGAACACGAUAUCUUAUUGAUCAUCUACUAUAACCUGAUUGCCAUCGGGGUCAUCGCUGGUAUCGGAGUAUUCCUGGAUCUUUUUAGAUGUUUGAAAUUUGGAAACCGAAGAAAAAAGAGAGGACUGGACUCCGAUGAUAUAGAAGAAUCUGAAAUGAAGUCCUUGGAUCGGGAAGCGAAUGUAUAAUAGACUGAAACAGAACUAUAAAAAGACCGGUGUGAAAGUGGACGCGUGAACGGCAUCUGGCCCAGAAGAACGCCAGGACAGGACAGGACAGGACAGGACAGGAGAAGGCAAUUCAAGACAUCACCGCGACAGCCUCGUAAACGGAACAGCUUCGAAAGUAGCUAAAGAAAUGAAAUUCUUGGUGCAAUUUUCAUAGUGUAUGGAUAUAUUGUACGGUACAGAUCGUUGCAUCAGAUGACAUUGAAAUGCUUCAGAACUUGACCUUGAACUGUUCCAUAGCGAUUCUACAAAAGCCUGCAGUUGGUUUUGUUCAACAAAUGUUGUGGACUGAGAAAAGAGUUAUAUAACUUGCUUUCUUGAUAGUAUAUGAUAAUGUUAAAAAAAAAUGUUAGCAGUUUUUAAUGUUUAUAAAGACAUGUUACUAUA
Dendronephthya gigantea is the source of this 1960-nucleotide RNA transcript. RefSeq lists it as uncharacterized. The transcript is spliced from 8 exons. NCBI's taxonomy places the organism in Eukaryota, Metazoa, Cnidaria, Anthozoa, Malacalcyonacea, Nephtheidae. The record is from RefSeq and is a predicted model, not a curated record.